RNAcentral lists this long non-coding RNA (1532 nucleotides) under Gallus gallus (chicken). Its description in RNAcentral is "lncRNA (ENSGALG00010003547.1)". Lineage: Eukaryota; Metazoa; Chordata; Aves; Galliformes; Phasianidae. The record is from RNAcentral.
CAAGGGCACGGCCCAUCUGCGGGUGACCCCGGGGCUGUGCCGGGCCAGGCAGCGCCUGCAGCACAGCUUCCCCAGGCUGUGGCGGUGGGUGCAGGAGCGCUGGAGGCACUGCCGUGCACAGCCCUUUUGGCAGCGCUGGUCCUCCGUGGGGAGGAAGACUCCCUGAGCCCGAGUGUGGGGCCCGGCAAUGCCACAGCCCCACCGCGCUCCCUCCGGCUCAGACCGCUGAAGGGUUUCCCUUCCCGGCUGCUGCUGAUCCCUUCCUAUCCCGGGGUCACACAGCCCAGCAGUGCCCCCGAGCAGCGAUGGGGCUGCACCCAUCCUGGGGCUGUAGCACAGAACUGCAGAACCUCAGCCCGGUUUGGGUGGGAACGGCCCCCAAAGCCCACCCCGUGCCAACCCCAUGGGCUGGGGCUGCUCCCGUGGGCCGGAUGGUAAAGUCCCCUCUGCGGGAAUGGAAUGCUUUUCUCUGUAACAGCAAGGUAAGAAUUUUAUGUCAUGGCCAUCGUGCAUCACCGAUUGGGUACGUGGAGUAAUGUAUAGGAAGAACUAUUGCAAAAUAAUCAGCAAUAUACACAUACAGCCAGCAACACUUCGUGUUAGCCUGUAAGGAUGUGUAUAUGCAAUAUUUCACCGCCUGCUCAGGUGCAGUGCAGGAAUAUCCUGCAUGAGAGAUGGAUGACCACAGAGAACCAGGCAUGACAUGCCCAAGGAUGUGGCUGAAGAGGCAUCAGGAAGGCCUGGCACCUCCCUGUGCUUUGUGUGUUAGAAAGAACCAUCCUUUGGGUUGAAAGGAAUGGCCAGCGACAGAAUCACCACGGCAGGACCAUAAGAAGGGUACCGAGACAUCCUGGAAACAGCAGGAUGGUGUCCAGCAUGCACAAGAUAGACUGUGAAUUAACAGUGUCAGAAUGGAGUUACGAGAUGGAAAUGUAAAUCUCCUGCUUGCAGGAUGGCCACCAUUGCAACCUCAAAUAAAAUCUGCUUUUAUCAUUAAUACUGUCCUGACAAAUUAUGGGAUAUUUCCAACACCUCUGUGGCCCUGUGGUCUGCAGUGAUGGGCACUUGCACUUCUCCCUGCCAUGACCACUCCACCCUGUGGUGAAUAACGCCUCACAUCUCACCUGAAUCCCCUCUUUUAGCUUAAAGCCAAUGCUCCUUUGAGGCAAUUGAGGCCCGGAGUGAGGUGGGAACGAUCCAAAUUCAAAUCCAAACCCUUCACUGCAGGCUCUGACACAUCUUAUACACAUCUCCAAGCUCCCUCCUGUCAUUCUCCAUCCCCCUUCAUGUCCAUAGAACACUUAACAAUUCUCCCUCACGUCCUCACACCGACUGCCCACACAGUGCCCAUCCCAUCACAGCCACACGUUGCUUCAGUUCCUGCACUGCUCCUCCACUCAGGGUGGUCACCAUGCGGGGAUAUGGCCCACCCACCUGACGCCUGCUCUGCUCUCCUGCACACAGCCUUUCUUCUCAGUGUCCUCAUACACGCUUGCCAGUGUUGAUUCUCAGCCUCCAUUCUGAACACUGUC